Non-coding RNA from Callipepla squamata (scaled quail), 279 nucleotides. It matches the Rfam family "7SK RNA". Rfam says of the family: 7SK was discovered as an abundant small nuclear RNA in the mid-70s but a possible function has only recently been suggested. Two independent studies have found that 7SK RNA binds the CDK9/cyclin T complex (known as elongation factor P-TEFb). P-TEFb activates transcription by phosphorylating the C-terminal domain of RNA polymerase II. The record is from Rfam. NCBI's taxonomy places the organism in Eukaryota, Metazoa, Chordata, Aves, Galliformes, Odontophoridae.
UUCUGUGACAUCUGCAGUGGACCCAAAGCAUUUGCCUCCUUCCUCCCUCCCUCACUGCUGAAUGUGUAUCCCUAAAAAAAAAGCAUGCUAGACUGAUGAGGAUGAUGUCCCUGAUUGAGACAUCCCAUGCACUAAUCAAGGGUGUAAGGUAGCUGUGCUCCACUGCUAGAAUCUCCAAACAACUUCAAGCUUCUUUUGUAGAAAAAUGUAGGGUAGAAGAGUGGUAAUACACUGCAACAUCCUGCCUGGGGUCGUGAGGGAGUCAUUGUCCCUGAAGGC